RNAcentral lists this ribosomal RNA (229 nucleotides) under uncultured bacterium. Its description in RNAcentral is "partial 16S ribosomal RNA". It matches the Rfam family "Bacterial small subunit ribosomal RNA", at positions 568 to 796 of the family's 1533-position model. The record is from RNAcentral.
UGCGCAGGCGGGCUUGUAAGUCAGUGGUGAAAUUUUGCGGCUUAACCGUAAAACUGCCAUUGAUACUGCAAGUCUUGAAUAUGGUUGAGGUAGGCGGAAUGUGUUGUGUAGCGGUGAAAUGCAUAGAUAUGACACAGAACGCCGAUUGCGAAGGCAGCUUACUAAGCCAUGAUUGACGCUGAGGCACGAAAGCGUGGGUAGCGAACAGGAUUAGAUACCCGAGUAGUCC